RNAcentral lists this ribosomal RNA (442 nucleotides) under uncultured Kroppenstedtia sp. RNAcentral describes it as "bacterial SSU rRNA". It matches the Rfam family "Bacterial small subunit ribosomal RNA", at positions 349 to 782 of the family's 1533-position model. The record is from RNAcentral. Lineage: Bacteria; Bacillati; Bacillota; Bacilli; Caryophanales; Thermoactinomycetaceae.
CAGCAGUAGGGAAUUUUCCGCAAUGGGCGCAAGCCUGACGGAGCAACGCCGCGUGAGUGAGGACGGCUUUCGGGUUGUAAAACUCUGUUCUUCGGGAAGAACGGCGGUCGGGUGAAUAGCCCGAUUGCGUGACGGUACCGAAGGAGAAAGCCCCGGCUAACUACGUGCCAGCAGCCGCGGUAAUACGUAGGGGGCAAGCGUUGUCCGGAAUUAUUGGGCGUAAAGCGCGCGCAGGCGGCCUGUUCAGUCGGAUGUGAAAGACCACGGCUCAACCGUGGGGUGGCAUCCGAAACUGGCGGGCUUGAGUACAGGAGAGGAGAGUGGAAUUCCCGGUGUAGCGGUGGAAUGCGUAGAGAUCGGGAGGAACACCAGUGGCGAAGGCGGCUCUCUGGCCUGUAACUGACGCUGAGGCGCGAAAGCGUGGGGAGCGAACAGGAUUAGA